Molecule: ribosomal RNA, 292 nt
Filed under: uncultured bacterium
Lineage: Bacteria
Description: partial 16S ribosomal RNA
Rfam family: Bacterial small subunit ribosomal RNA
Source: RNAcentral
GUGCCAGCAGCCGCGGUAAUACGAAGGGGGCAAGCGUUGUUCGGAAUUACUGGGCGUAAAGGGCGCGUAGGCGGUGCUCUAAGUCAGGCGUGAAAGCCCUGGGCUCAACCCGGGAAUUGCGCUUGAUACUGGAGCGCUUGAAUCCAGGAGAGGUUGGUGGAAUUCCCAGUGUAGAGGUGAAAUUCGUAGAGAUUGGGAAGAACACCGGUGGCGAAGGCGGCCAACUGGACUGGUAUUGACGCUGAGGCGCGAAAGCGUGGGGAGCAAACAGGAUUAGAUACCCUGGUAGUCC